Molecule: ribosomal RNA, 850 nt
Filed under: Stagonosporopsis sp. GCR-2022a
Lineage: Eukaryota; Fungi; Ascomycota; Dothideomycetes; Pleosporales; Didymellaceae
Description: partial large subunit ribosomal RNA
Rfam family: Eukaryotic large subunit ribosomal RNA
Source: RNAcentral
CCCUAGUAACGGCGAGUGAAGCGGCAACAGCUCAAAUUUGAAAUCUGGCGUCUUCGGCGUCCGAGUUGUAAUUUGCAGAGGGCGCUUUGGCAUUGGCAGCGGUCCAAGUUCCUUGGAACAGGACGUCACAGAGGGUGAGAAUCCCGUACGUGGUCGCUAGCCUUUACCGUGUAAAGCCCCUUCGACGAGUCGAGUUGUUUGGGAAUGCAGCUCUAAAUGGGAGGUAAAUUUCUUCUAAAGCUAAAUACUGGCCAGAGACCGAUAGCGCACAAGUAGAGUGAUCGAAAGAUGAAAAGCACUUUGGAAAGAGAGUUAAAAAGCACGUGAAAUUGUUGAAAGGGAAGCGCUUGCAGCCAGACUUGCCUGUAGUUGCUCAUCCGGGUUUCUACCCGGUGCACUCUUCUAUAGGCAGGCCAGCAUCAGUUUGGGCGGUUGGAUAAAGGUCUCUGUCACGUACCUCCUUUCGGGGAGGCCUUAUAGGGGAGACGACAUGCAACCAGCCUGGACUGAGGUCCGCGCAUCUGCUAGGAUGCUGGCGUAAUGGCUGUAAGCGGCCCGUCUUGAAACACGGACCAAGGAGUCUAACAUCUAUGCGAGUGUUUGGGUGUCAAGCCCGAACGCGUAAUGAAAGUGAACGGAGGUGGGAACCUUUCGGGGUGCACCAUCGACCGAUCCUGAUGUCUUCGGAUGGAUUUGAGUAAGAGCAUAGCUGUUGGGACCCGAAAGAUGGUGAACUAUGCUUGAAUAGGGUGAAGCCAGAGGAAACUCUGGUGGAGGCUCGCAGCGGUUCUGACGUGCAAAUCGAUCGUCAAAUUUGGGCAUAGGGGCGAAAGACUAAUCGAACUAUCUA